This 813-nucleotide ribosomal RNA is filed under the name Canariomyces subthermophilus. Its description in RNAcentral is "bacterial SSU rRNA". It matches the Rfam family "Eukaryotic small subunit ribosomal RNA", at positions 1149 to 1406 of the family's 1831-position model. Lineage: Eukaryota; Fungi; Ascomycota; Sordariomycetes; Sordariales; Chaetomiaceae. The record is from RNAcentral.
GGAAUUGACGGAAGGGCACCACCAGGGGUGGAGCCUGCGGCUUAAUUUGACUCAACACGGGGAAACUCACCAGGUCCAGACACGAUGAGGAUUGACAGAUUGAGAGCUCUUUCUUGAUUUCGUGGGUGGUGGUGCAUGGCCGUUCUUAGUUGGUGGAGUGAUUUGUCUGCUUAAUUGCGAUAACGAACGAGACCUUAACCUGCUAAAUAGCCCGUAUUGCUUUGGCAGUACGCCGGCUCUAGAGGACUAUUAGGGUGAACCUGCGGAGGGAUCAUUACAGAGUUGCAAAACUCCCUAAACCAUCGCGACGUUACCCCAAAAUCGUUGCUUCGGCGGGCGGCGCCUCUCCCGGCGCCCCCUGCCAGGGGCCCUAACGGGCGUCCGCCGGAGGCCUAUAACCCUUGUAUUAUUUCACGGCUUCUCUGAGUUUAUACUUAAAUAAGUCAAAACUUUCAACAACGGAUCUCUUGGUUCUGGCAUCGAUGAAGAACGCAGCGAAAUGCGAUAAGUAAUGUGAAUUGCAGAAUUCAGUGAAUCAUCGAAUCUUUGAACGCACAUUGCGCCCCCCAGUAUUCUGGAGGGCAUGCCUGUUCGAGCGUCAUUUCAACCAUCAAGCCCCGGGCUUGUGUUGGGGACCUGCGGCUGCCGCAGGCCCCGAAAAGCAGUGGCGGGCUCGCUGUCACACCGAGCGUAGUAGCAAUCACCUCGCUCAGGGCGUGCUGCGGGUGCCGGCCGUUAAACCCCCUUAACUCUAAGGUGACCUCGGAUCAGGUAGGAGUACCCGCUGAACUUAAGCAUAUCAAUAAGCGGAGG